Molecule: ribosomal RNA, 124 nt
Filed under: uncultured Bacteroidota bacterium
Lineage: Bacteria; Pseudomonadati; Bacteroidota
Description: uncultured Bacteroidetes bacterium partial 16S ribosomal RNA
Rfam family: Bacterial small subunit ribosomal RNA
Source: RNAcentral
CGUGCAGGAAGACUGCCCUAUGGGUUGUAAACUGCUUUUAUAUAGGAAGAAACACUGAUACGUGUACCUGUUUGACGGUACUGUACGAAUAAGGACCGGCUAACUCCGUGCCAGCAGCCGCGGU